GAUGAAGAACGUAGUGAAAUGCGAUACUUGGUGUGAAUUGCAGAAUCCCGUGAACCAUCGAGUUUUUGAACGCAAGUUGCGCCCGAAGCCUUUUGGCCGAGGGCACGUCUGCCUGGGCGUCACGCAUCGCGUCGCCCCCCACAAUUCUCCGUAAAGGGAACGUGUGUUUUGGGGGCGGAUAUUGGUCUCCCGUGCUCAUGGCGUGGUUGGCCGAAAUAGGAGUCCUUUCGAUGGACGCACGAACUAGUGGUGGUCGUAAAAACCCUCGUCUUUUGUUUCGUGCUGUUGCUCGCAAGGUAAACUCUUUAAAAACCCCAAUGUGUCGUCUCUUGACGACGCUUCGACCGCGACCCCAGGUCAGGCGGGACUACCCGCUGAGUUUAAGCAUAUCAAUAAGCGGAGGA
RNAcentral lists this unclassified non-coding RNA (404 nucleotides) under soil metagenome. Its description in RNAcentral is "partial contains 5.8S ribosomal RNA, internal transcribed spacer 2, and large subunit ribosomal RNA". The stretch from base 1 to 122 matches the Rfam family "5.8S ribosomal RNA", at positions 35 to 154 of the family's 154-position model. The record is from RNAcentral.